RNAcentral lists this ribosomal RNA (425 nucleotides) under uncultured bacterium. RNAcentral's name for it is "partial 16S ribosomal RNA". It matches the Rfam family "Bacterial small subunit ribosomal RNA", at positions 354 to 796 of the family's 1533-position model. The record is from RNAcentral.
GUGGGGAAUCUUGCGCAAUGGACGAAAGCCUGACGCAGCCAUGCCGCGUGAAUGAUGAAGGUCUUAGGAUUGUAAAAUUCUUUCACCGGGGACGAUAAUGACGGUACCCGGAGAAGAAGCUCCGGCUAACUUCGUGCCAGCAGCCGCGGUAAUACGAAGGGGGCUAGCGUUGCUCGGAAUUACUGGGCGUAAAGGGCGCGUAGGCGGACAGCUUAGUCAGAGGUGAAAGCCCAGGGCUCAACCUUGGAAUUGCCUUUGAUACUGGCUGUCUUGAGUUUGGGAGAGGUGAGUGGAACUCCGAGUGUAGAGGUGAAAUUCGUAGAUAUUCGGAAGAACACCAGUGGCGAAGGCGACUCACUGGCCCAAUACUGACGCUGAGGCGCGAAAGCGUGGGGAGCAAACAGGAUUAGAAACCCUUGUAGUCC